Molecule: ribosomal RNA, 492 nt
Filed under: uncultured bacterium
Lineage: Bacteria
Description: partial 16S ribosomal RNA
Rfam family: Bacterial small subunit ribosomal RNA
Source: RNAcentral
AGUGAACGCUGGCGGUAGGCCUAACACAUGCAAGUCGAACGGCAGCACAGUAAGAGCUUGCUCUUACGGGUGGCGAGUGGCGGACGGGUGAGGAAUACAUCGGAAUCUACUUUUUCGUGGGGGAUAACGUAGGGAAACUUACGCUAAUACCGCAUACGACCUACGGGUGAAAGCAGGGGAUCUUCGGACCUUGCGCGAUUGAAUGAGCCGAUGUCGGAUUAGCUAGUUGGCGGGGUAAAGGCCCACCAAGGCGACGAUCCGUAGCUGGUCUGAGAGGAUGAUCGGCCACAAUGGAACUGAGACACGGUCCAGACUCCUACGGGAGGCAGCAGUGGGGAAUAUUGGACAAUGGGCGCAAGCCUGAUCCAGCCAUACCGCGUGGGUGAAGAAGGCCUUCGGGUUGUAAAGCCCUUUUGUUGGGAAAGAAAAGCAGCAGGUUAAUACCCCGCUGUUCUGACGGUACCCAAAGAAUAAGCACCGGCUAACUUCGUG